Molecule: ribosomal RNA, 433 nt
Filed under: uncultured bacterium
Lineage: Bacteria
Description: partial 16S ribosomal RNA
Rfam family: Bacterial small subunit ribosomal RNA
Source: RNAcentral
AACGAACGCUGGCGGCAUGCCUAACACAUGCAAGUCGAACGAGACCUUCGGGUCUAGUGGCGCACGGGUGCGUAACGCGUGGGAACCUGCCCUUAGGUUCGGAAUAACUCCCCGAAAGGUGUGCUAAUACCGGAUAAUGUCUUCGGACCAAAGAUUUAUCGCCUUUGGAUGGGCCCGCGUUGGAUUAGCUAGUUGGUAGGGUAAAAGCCUACCAAGGCGACGAUCCAUAGCUGGUCUGAGAGGAUGAUCAGCCACACUGGAACUGAGACACGGACCAGACUCCUACGGGAGGCAGCAGUGGGGAAUAUUAGACAAUGGGCGAUAGCCUGAUCCAGCAAUGCCGCGUGAGUGAUGAAGGCCUUAGGGUUGUAAAGCUCUUUUACCCGGGAUGAUAAUGACAGUACCGGGAGAAUAAGCGCCGGCUAACUCCGUG